Molecule: ribosomal RNA, 306 nt
Filed under: uncultured bacterium
Lineage: Bacteria
Description: partial 16S ribosomal RNA
Rfam family: Bacterial small subunit ribosomal RNA
Source: RNAcentral
GACAGCAGUAGCCACGGGAAUACGGAGGGGGCUAGCGUUGUUCGGAAUUACUGGGCGUAAAGCGCACGUAGGCGGCUUGGUAAGUUAGAGGUGAAAGCCUGGAGCUCAACUCCAGAAUUGCCUUUAAGACUGCCGAGCUAGCAGGUGAGAGAGGUAAGUGGAAUUCCGAGUGUAGAGGUGAAAUUCGUAGAUAUUCGGAAGAACACCAGUGGCGAAGGCGGCUUACUGGCUCAUACUGGACGCUGAGGUGCGAAAGCGUGGGGAGCAAACAGGAUUAGAUACCCCUGUAGUCCCUGUCUCUUAUAC